Molecule: long non-coding RNA, 1158 nt
Filed under: Carassius auratus (goldfish)
Lineage: Eukaryota; Metazoa; Chordata; Actinopteri; Cypriniformes; Cyprinidae
Description: lncRNA (ENSCARG00000042837.1)
Source: RNAcentral
UUAAAAUAAGUAUACUAAUAGAAAACUUGAAUUAACUUAUUUUUUGUAAGGGACAUACUGUAAAUCCUAAAAACAUCAUUAUUUGAAUGGUAUCUGAUUGUGUGUGUGUGUGUGUGUGUGUGUGUGUGUGUGUGUGUGUGUGUGUGUGUGUGUGUGUGUGUAUGUUUCUGCAGGGGAAGGCAGCAGAGGUGAAAGUGUGUUGGCUACCUUGCUCUUCCUGUGGCAGAGUCUGGGAGGACACCUGGGAGCCGGCCAGCAAAUUCGCCUGAUGACUAAUACUGUUUUACUAUUUGUUUUAUAUAUAUUUCUCAAUAAUUAAAUUCACUAUUGUUACAUUUUAUGAUUUGUCUGUCAAUCAUUGACUGCACUGAAUAAUUAAUGUGUCAUGACUUUGUGCUGUAUUUGAUGGGAAAAGUGAGACGAAAGUUGCAUGUAGUGACAGUCAAGUCACCUUUAUUUACAGCUUAUAGCACUUUUUACAAUACAGAUUGUAUCAAAGCAGCUUCACAGUGAUAACAGGAAAAUAAUACAACAAAGUUUCUUUUUAGAAGAAAAUUACAUCCUCGUCCACCUUAAGGCAGAUUAGCAAGCCAAUCUUAGCAACUAAAAAAAUCUAAAGCCAAGGCAACCAGAACAAGUACCAAAUUGGCAUUAUACUAACUUAUGAUGAAAAUUGUAGUUAGUAUUGAUGGUAAUUUUGGAGCAAAGUAAAUGGGCUCCUAUCCCUGGUGACAGGAUGUAUUACUGAAUCCUUUUUUACCUCUGAUCGCUAGCAUACAACACUGUUUGUUUUUGUUCUCAUGGUUGUCUGUUCAGAUCAAUUAUGAGAGUUCUUAAGACAUUUCAAACAUUCCCAAUGAAGAGAAGAGGCACAUUUAUCAAUUUUCAUCAAUGGUACCUAGGUCAGCAAUGAUUUUUCAGGCUCAGGCCAUUUUUUCAUAUCCUUUGCCUCAUACAAAGACAGAUUGGUGUCAAAUUUCACAAAUAAUCUCAUCCUUCCUCUGUGUCAACAAUCAACAUACAGUAUGUGCAUGACAUAAAGUGAUCAGACUUAAGAGAUCAGAAAGACCGGAGACAUGAGCCUGGGAAACUGUUAAAGCCAGAAACAAUUCCAGCUUGGCCAUCAAUAUAAUGUCUAAUGUUUUCUUGUCAUAAAAC